AACGAACGCUGGCGGCAUGCCUAACACAUGCAAGUCGAACGAGACCUCCGGGCCUAGUGGCGCACGGGUGCGUAACGCGUGGGAACCUGCCCUUAGGUUCGGAAUAACUCCCCGAAAGGGGUGCUAAUACCGGAUAAUGUCUUCGGACCAAAGAUGUACUGCCUUUGGAUGGGCCCGCGUUGGAUUGGCUAGUUGGUAGGGUAAUAGCCUACCAAGGCGUCGAUCCAUAGCUGGUCGGGGAGGAGGAUCAGCCACGCUGGGACUGAGGCACGGCCCAGAAUCGUACGGAAGGGAGCGGUGGGGAAUAUUGGGCGAGGAACGAUGGCCUGAUACAGCAGUGCCGCGUGAGAGAUGAAGGCCUUAGGGUUGUAAAGCUCUUUUACCCGAGAUGAGAGUGACGGUACCGGGAGAAUAAGCACCGGCUAACUCCGUG
This 433-nucleotide ribosomal RNA is filed under the name uncultured bacterium. Its description in RNAcentral is "partial 16S ribosomal RNA". It matches the Rfam family "Bacterial small subunit ribosomal RNA", at positions 29 to 507 of the family's 1533-position model. The record is from RNAcentral.